UACGUAGGGGGCGAGCGUUGUCCGGAUUCAUUGGGCGUAAAGAGCUCGUAGGCGGCUUGGCAAGUCGGGUGUGAAAACUUCAGGCUCAACCUGGAGCGGCCACUCGAUACUGCCAUGGCUUGAGUCCGGUAGGGGAACACGGAAUUCCUGGUGUAGCGGUGAAAUGCGCAGAUAUCAGGAGGAACACCGGUGGCGAAGGCGGUGGUCUGGGCCGGAACUGACGCUGAGGAGCGAAAGCGUGGGGAGCGAACAGG
RNAcentral lists this ribosomal RNA (254 nucleotides) under uncultured bacterium. RNAcentral describes it as "partial 16S ribosomal RNA". It matches the Rfam family "Bacterial small subunit ribosomal RNA", at positions 524 to 776 of the family's 1533-position model. The record is from RNAcentral.